Molecule: ribosomal RNA, 265 nt
Filed under: Salmonella enterica subsp. enterica
Lineage: Bacteria; Pseudomonadati; Pseudomonadota; Gammaproteobacteria; Enterobacterales; Enterobacteriaceae
Also listed under: 2 other names
Description: partial 16S ribosomal RNA
Rfam family: Bacterial small subunit ribosomal RNA
Source: RNAcentral
CAGUGAUAAACUGGAGGAAGGUGGGGAUGACGUCAAGUCAUCAUGGCCCUUACGACCAGGGCUACACACGUGCUACAAUGGCGCAUACAAAGAGAAGCGACCUCGCGAGAGCAAGCGGACCUCAUAAAGUGCGUCGUAGUCCGGAUUGGAGUCUGCAACUCGACUCCAUGAAGUCGGAAUCGCUAGUAAUCGUGGAUCAGAAUGCCACGGUGAAUACGUUCCCGGGCCUUGUACACACCGCCCGUCACACCAUGGGAGUGGGUUG